This is a long non-coding RNA of Corvus hawaiiensis (hawaiian crow), 4461 nucleotides long. RefSeq lists it as uncharacterized. The record is from RefSeq and is a predicted model, not a curated record. NCBI's taxonomy places the organism in Eukaryota, Metazoa, Chordata, Aves, Passeriformes, Corvidae. The transcript is spliced from 2 exons.
UAGAUCGAAGAAAGGGAAAAAAAUACUGCACAACAGCAGGCGGGAGAGAGGAGUGAGAAUGUGUGAGAGAAACAGUCCUGCAGACACCAAUGUCAGUGCAGAAGGAGGGGGAGGAGGUGCUCCAGGCACUGGAGCAGCGAUUUUCCUGCAGCCUGUGGCGCAGACCAUGGUGAGGCAACUGUGCCCCUGCAGCCCAUGAGGGAGCAGAGAUCCAGCUGCAGUCUCUGGAAGAUUCCACACUGGAGCAGGUGGAUGUACACAGCUGCACAAAGCUGUGACCCUGUAGGACGCUUGUGCUGGAGCAGGCUCCUGUCAGGAUAGGUGGACCCAAGCAGAGAGAAGUGCAUUCUGGAGCAGGUUUUCUGCCAGGUUCUGGGAUCCCAUGGUGAGGACCCCUGAUGGAGAAGUUUUUCCUGAAGGAUUGCACCCCAUGGCAGUCCCCACGCUGAAGCAGUUUAUGAAGAACUGCAGCCUGUGAGAAGGAAUCACACUGGAGAAAUCGUGGAGGACUGUCUCCUGUGGGAAGGAUCCUACGCUGGAGCAGGGGAAGAGUGUGAGGUGGAAGGAGCAGCAGAGACAAAGUAUUAUGAACUGGCUAUGAGCCCCAUCCCCUAUCUCCUUGCACAGCUUAUGGCUAAUUCUACUUUGGCCUGGUGGAUUGAGUGACCAUUGGUUGAUGGAGUGUAUCAGCCAUUCUUCUGGAGCUCCUUGUCCAGUUUAGUUUCAUCUAAGGUGGUACAGUUCAAGAUCUCCAAAGACCACUCCUUGAGAAUCCAGAGAAGAGCAUGAAUCUCACUUUGGAAGCACACUGCUGAUCCAUUUUAUUUAGAUCUAAUCCAUUAGUCCAGUGUUCUACAUGAUACCAAUUAUGCAUUGAUACUGAGACCUCUAUAUAAUAUUUCAGGCCUGUUCUCACGAAAUAAAUCGAUUUUCUCUGAUACUCUGCUAUAUUCUCUUUUCACCACAUUCAAAAUCAAGAAAGUGUCAAGUGAACUGGAUUGAUACCCUCAUUGAUGACUGGGGCCUUUCUAUUUCUGGAAAGGAGAUAAAUGGCAUUUUCUUAAGAAAAAUUCUUAUAAAAGAAUUGGCUUUUUAAAAUUUUCAUCAGUUUCUUUUGAACCUUUUGAACCAUAAUUUUUUAUGAAGCAUAUUACAGAUCGGUAGUGCAUGGAAAGAUUAGUCAGAAGACAUUUAGAGCUAGUUAAUGAACACUACUUUACAGAGUUUUUAUUUAGUAAAAUUAGAGGGCAUUGCUUUAGUCUGUGUAAAGGACCUAUUAUCUUGCAGCUAGCGUCCAAUAAUUUGUCUUACAUAAGCAGUUAAAGUUAGUAGGGAUCUCAAUAUAGCAGUUUGACAGAAGUGUUAAAUAUAGGUAUCAUCUAAACUCGCUGGAAAUGGGGAUUGUUUUUCCUAAGAACACAGUCCAAAAGUGAACAAAAAUGAAAGGGAAAAACUUCCAGCAGGCCUUCUUGGCUCAAAUCAUAACAACUAUGUUAAUCAGAGCGUUGUUUUGCACUGCCUGCAAUUGCCUUUCAACAGUCAGUACAAAAGUCAGCAAAGCAUAAGCAUUCAUGUGACAAGAAUAACUCCCUUAGGAGUAGAAGCUGAAGCUGACCUGAGGAGAGGACAUUGCACAACUGCAAAUGUAAGUACUUGGGGAAGGUUCGUAGCGUGGUAAUUUUUGUAAACGGCUACAGGUAUUUGUGUCCAGUUCUCAUGGAGAAGUAUGUCAUUUGUUCCUGUGCACCAUGCAGUCUGAAGUGAAGAAAGAAAGAAAAUAUGAGUUAUCAGAUGACUGUCACAUAUUUUUACUUGAACAACACUAUUUCAGAUACUCAAUUAUUUAUUUUUUCCCUCAAGUCUCUUCAGCUCCUUGGUAUUACCAGAAAUCCCUGAUCUUAGAGAUUGCUGACCUCACUAUUGUGGGGCCAUGCAAACUGAUCAGAUCAGAGACACGAAUGAGUAUCUCACAAAAGACUGGGGGGCAGAGGCUUAGAAUGGUGAGGAAUGUUUUGCUGGAGCUCCUUGAUUGUCUCUAAGCUAUUGAGUGGAUUUUAUAAUAAGCUCAGAGAAUAUUAUUUUUUAUAUCAUAAAUAUAUUAAAACACAGUUGCCCUGCCAAAUCCAGAUGAGAACAGCACCGAUCCUGAAUUGGCUGCUGUCAAUAAACUUGUGCUGUAUACUCAGUACUGUGAUGCAUCUUAGUGCCUGAAAUGAAAAUUUAAAAUCCAUAGUAAAUAAAGCAAAUAGAAUUUGCAAGGCAAUAUAAAUACCAUGUUCAGAAAUGUUUGAGUAAAAAUAGCAAAAAGAAAGGGCAAGAUAAUAAAAUAACCUAUUCAGAGACAUUUUAAUAAAAUUAAAAAAGGCAUAGAUAACAAGCUAGACAAAAAUGAGGCAUAUCAUCUAUGAUGAGGUAAUUAUGUUUUAACGGAUGAGGUGGAAUACCUAUUCUGAAUAUGAUGGAAGUAUUCCAAGUUCCCAUAAUAAAUUCACUGCUCCUUUUGCACAUGUAGUUGUUUCAGGCAGGAACUUUUCUAGAAUGAAGAGAUGGGCAUUCAGUCGAAAGCAAGACAACAGACAAAUAAGAAAAAUUACAAUCAGAAAUGCAAGUUUUCAGAAGGAAAGGUGGUAGAAGUAGAAAAGCUGAACAAAGGAAGACAAAAGAAGUGUUCUGGGUGGAAUAGACAGCAAUGUUUUACCAAUUAAAACAGCUUUUAAAAUAAAAAAACAAUUCUGAUGAAAACACCAAGAACCUUAUUAAAUAAUACUUGAGGAAAGAACCUACCUUCACUUUAUGAAAAACUCUGUGGCAUUUAUAAGGUAUGCAAUUUCUACACUUCAUACACAGAGGAACGUCAAAAGUAUGUCGUCUCCUGUUGAUGGUCCUUUACUGCUUAAAUAGUGUCUGGCUAUUCUUAGGUGAAACAUAAAAGCAUGCUGAAAAGCAGUCCCUGAAGAUCACUUCUGCAGGAAAGAUGAUCACUUGUGUUUGAAACAUAUUACAGACCAAACUGAAGAACAGGAAGACACUUAUAACAAUACGAGUUCAAGAGCACUUCUGUCAAUCAGCUUUCUCGGGGCCACUUUCCCAAAUAACAAAAUAAACUUUUAAAUCAGUAAAAAUUAAAAUAAUUGAUAUUUUUUUCCUUUUUGUUAUGAUUGAUCCAGGAGUUUUUCUUUUUCUCUCUAAGCUAUUGGAAUAUGAUACCAAUAGCAUUUUUUUAAAAAAAUCUAAAUUAAAGGUGUUAAAACUUCUUAAUCAAACUAUAUAUUUAUUAAUUUAAUUAAAGUCUGAAAUCUCUUUACAAACAUAUUGUCUUUGAGUACAAUUGUUUUUUUUCCCUAACAGACUCCUCUUGGUUUGUCAUUUGCAGACUUCCAUUAGAAAUGUGCCCCUUAGACUUUCUCUGAAGACACUACUGAAUGUUCCCAUGACAAUUUGCAAAAGCAGGAUCUUCUUUUGGUCUCUGUUUUUGACAUUGGGCUUUAACUGCAUUAUUACCUAGUAAAUGGAGCUAUUGUUAGAAAUUACUGGAAUAUGACAGGCCCUGUGACAAUUUCUGAGACUUUAAAAUGCACUUGUUCAACUUCAGACUGAGAAAAAAUCCUGUUUUUCUGGAGAAAUGAUCGGUGUAAAAACAUUUAUUUUUGUUUCAAAUUUUCAUUAUGACCUCUCCCUGUGUCUCCAGUAGUGAUCAGAGGGUCUUCCUGGAAAGGCAUAAACCUUUCUUUGGCUAACAUCACCAAAAUCUGAGUGUCUAAGAAAAGGUUGCCUUUGCAACCUUUCUUUUCCACAGUGCAGAGGAAAAAGCAUUAUUUAGCAAAAAUAUUGCUGCAAGUCUUUCACACUUUACUAUUCUUCUGCUGGGAAGCAGGUUGCUUUCAAAACUUUCUAGCAAUUUCUCUUAAAAAAAAAAGGUGACUUGUCAAUAAUCUUUUCAUUGAGUAAAAGCAAAUAAAAAAAUAACAAGAUGAAGGUUUCUAUUGCUCAGUUGAUCCCUAGGUACUUGUUGGGGAUAAAAGGAAGCAAGGUAUACAGAAGGAAAAAUUUAUUAAAUGUUUAGCAUGAGGAAUGUCUCAGCACAUCCAGAAGGCAAUCUUUCUAGGGUCAUUUGCAAGAGUUCUGCCCUGAAAAAAAAUACAGAAAAUUAAUUCUUUAUGUUAUUCUCAAGAGAUUAGGGCUUACUUGGAACAGGGAGCAUCCCUGCAAACUCUUUACUAGUCAAUGGAUUUAGGCUCCAGUGUGAUCAUAGAAUAAAUCUGGCUUUAGGUUUGUGGUAUGAGAUCAAAAGAAAAUCCCAUGAAAUGAAGUAAGAAGCCAAUUUAAACUCAUUCUGUAUGGUCAGUUUUGCUCAAAAGAUGUUGCUGUGCUGACUUUGAAGUCUCAGGCUUUCUUCUGGAAUAAGUUUCAAUGCAUUAUCUCUUUUCCUACAUGCCUGAAAAUAAAAGGGUUUAAACACUG